Gorilla gorilla gorilla (western lowland gorilla) is the source of this 614-nucleotide long non-coding RNA. RefSeq lists it as uncharacterized. Lineage: Eukaryota; Metazoa; Chordata; Mammalia; Primates; Hominidae. The record is from RefSeq and is a predicted model, not a curated record. The transcript has 3 exons.
UGCAGUUGCCAUGGCAGCUUAGCCGUUAGUGGGUCAGGUGGCGAAAGCAGAGGCCUACCCCCGCCAGCCGUUGCUGUCAGGCCCCCUCUCGCUCUCUGGUUCAGGAGAACGUCUCUAGAAGAGCGUCAAUUUGGGGCUGGAUAUUGUAAAUCUUGAUCCAAGGAACAGUCUCCAGAUGGAGAAUGGAUAGAAUUUCUCCUCCUUCUCUUGCACUAGGAGUAAGUGAGCGUCGCUAGAAGCAUCCAGAUAUGAAGGCUUCAAAUCCUACCUAAACUGCAGCCCAAUCUCUGAAAGCAACUUUGCUCAAUUGCAGCCUGACUAGAGGGAGGUAUCAGAGCCACAACAAAUGGAAUGAAACCUACCACUACCACCUGCCUGGCACGAAGAAAUAAUUUACAAUUCACGGGGAAUUUCCUGUGUUUCAUUUUGUCUGAAGAACUGUAACCCGACUUGAAUGAACUAAGUGUCUAAUUGUUGCAUUAUUUUUCUUGUAGAGAUUUUAGUGUUUUAUUACUUUCUCCAGUUUACCUCAAUAGUGAAUUAAGUUCCCUCUACCAUCUGAAAUGUUACAGUUCGAUAAAAUAGGUAAAUUAAUAAAGUCUAAAGUGCUUCCA